RNAcentral lists this transfer RNA (71 nucleotides) under Oxyloma wujiaquensis. RNAcentral describes it as "tRNA-Thr". The record is from RNAcentral. Lineage: Eukaryota; Metazoa; Mollusca; Gastropoda; Stylommatophora; Succineidae.
UUUAUUAUAGUUUAUAUUAAAAACAUUGUAUUUGUAAUACAAAUAAAGUAGUUUCUUCUUACUUAAUAAAU